Molecule: small nuclear RNA, 117 nt
Filed under: Microcebus murinus (gray mouse lemur)
Lineage: Eukaryota; Metazoa; Chordata; Mammalia; Primates; Cheirogaleidae
Description: U5 spliceosomal RNA (ENSMICG00000025348.3)
Rfam family: U5 spliceosomal RNA
About the family: U5 RNA is a component of both types of known spliceosome. The precise function of this molecule is unknown, though it is known that the 5' loop is required for splice site selection and p220 binding, and that both the 3' stem-loop and the Sm site are important for Sm protein binding and cap methylation.
Source: Rfam by way of RNAcentral
ACACUCUGGUUCCUCUUCAGAUCACAUAAAUUUCUCGCCUUUUAAUACCAAAGAUUUCUGUGGAGAAAAACAACUGAGCCUUUAACCAAAUUCUUGAGACUUUGUAUCUGCAGGGGU